RNAcentral lists this ribosomal RNA (2903 nucleotides) under Escherichia coli TW10722. Its description in RNAcentral is "bacterial LSU rRNA". It matches the Rfam family "Bacterial large subunit ribosomal RNA". Lineage: Bacteria; Pseudomonadati; Pseudomonadota; Gammaproteobacteria; Enterobacterales; Enterobacteriaceae. The record is from RNAcentral.
UUAAGCGACUAAGCGUACACGGUGGAUGCCCUGGCAGUCAGAGGCGAUGAAGGACGUGCUAAUCUGCGAUAAGCGUCGGUAAGGUGAUAUGAACCGUUAUAACCGGCGAUUUCCGAAUGGGGAAACCCAGUGUGUUUCGACACACUAUCAUUAACUGAAUCCAUAGGUUAAUGAGGCGAACCGGGGGAACUGAAACAUCUAAGUACCCCGAGGAAAAGAAAUCAACCGAGAUUCCCCCAGUAGCGGCGAGCGAACGGGGAGGAGCCCAGAGCCUGAAUCAGUGUGUGUGUUAGUGGAAGCGUCUGGAAAGGCGCGCGAUACAGGGUGACAGCCCCGUACACAAAAAUGCACAUGCUGUGAGCUCGAUGAGUAGGGCGGGACACGUGGUAUCCUGUCUGAAUAUGGGGGGACCAUCCUCCAAGGCUAAAUACUCCUGACUGACCGAUAGUGAACCAGUACCGUGAGGGAAAGGCGAAAAGAACCCCGGCGAGGGGAGUGAAAAAGAACCUGAAACCGUGUACGUACAAGCAGUGGGAGCCUCUUUUAUGGGGUGACUGCGUACCUUUUGUAUAAUGGGUCAGCGACUUAUAUUCUGUAGCAAGGUUAACCGAAUAGGGGAGCCGAAGGGAAACCGAGUCUUAACUGGGCGUUAAGUUGCAGGGUAUAGACCCGAAACCCGGUGAUCUAGCCAUGGGCAGGUUGAAGGUUGGGUAACACUAACUGGAGGACCGAACCGACUAAUGUUGAAAAAUUAGCGGAUGACUUGUGGCUGGGGGUGAAAGGCCAAUCAAACCGGGAGAUAGCUGGUUCUCCCCGAAAGCUAUUUAGGUAGCGCCUCGUGAAUUCAUCUCCGGGGGUAGAGCACUGUUUCGGCAAGGGGGUCAUCCCGACUUACCAACCCGAUGCAAACUGCGAAUACCGGAGAAUGUUAUCACGGGAGACACACGGCGGGUGCUAACGUCCGUCGUGAAGAGGGAAACAACCCAGACCGCCAGCUAAGGUCCCAAAGUCAUGGUUAAGUGGGAAACGAUGUGGGAAGGCCCAGACAGCCAGGAUGUUGGCUUAGAAGCAGCCAUCAUUUAAAGAAAGCGUAAUAGCUCACUGGUCGAGUCGGCCUGCGCGGAAGAUGUAACGGGGCUAAACCAUGCACCGAAGCUGCGGCAGCGACGCUGAUGCGUUGUUGGGUAGGGGAGCGUUCUGUAAGCCUGCGAAGGUGUGCUGUGAGGCAUGCUGGAGGUAUCAGAAGUGCGAAUGCUGACAUAAGUAACGAUAAAGCGGGUGAAAAGCCCGCUCGCCGGAAGACCAAGGGUUCCUGUCCAACGUUAAUCGGGGCAGGGUGAGUCGACCCCUAAGGCGAGGCCGAAAGGCGUAGUCGAUGGGAAACAGGUUAAUAUUCCUGUACUUGGUGUUACUGCGAAGGGGGGACGGAGAAGGCUAUGUUGGCCGGGCGACGGUUGUCCCGGUUUAAGCGUGUAGGCUGGUUUUCCAGGCAAAUCCGGAAAAUCAAGGCUGAGGCGUGAUGACGAGGCACUACGGUGCUGAAGCAACAAAUGCCCUGCUUCCAGGAAAAGCCUCUAAGCAUCAGGUAACAUCAAAUCGUACCCCAAACCGACACAGGUGGUCAGGUAGAGAAUACCAAGGCGCUUGAGAGAACUCGGGUGAAGGAACUAGGCAAAAAUGGUGCCGUAACUUCGGGAGAAGGCACGCUGAUAUGUAGGUGAAGUCCCUCGCGGAUGGAGCUGAAAUCAGUCGAAGAUACCAGCUGGCUGCAACUGUUUAUUAAAAACACAGCACUGUGCAAACACGAAAGUGGACGUAUACGGUGUGACGCCUGCCCGGUGCCGGAAGGUUAAUUGAUGGGGUCAGCGCAAGCGAAGCUCUUGAUCGAAGCCCCGGUAAACGGCGGCCGUAACUAUAACGGUCCUAAGGUAGCGAAAUUCCUUGUCGGGUAAGUUCCGACCUGCACGAAUGGCGUAAUGAUGGCCAGGCUGUCUCCACCCGAGACUCAGUGAAAUUGAACUCGCUGUGAAGAUGCAGUGUACCCGCGGCAAGACGGAAAGACCCCGUGAACCUUUACUAUAGCUUGACACUGAACAUUGAGCCUUGAUGUGUAGGAUAGGUGGGAGGCUUUGAAGUGUGGACGCCAGUCUGCAUGGAGCCGACCUUGAAAUACCACCCUUUAAUGUUUGAUGUUCUAACGUGGACCCGUAAUCCGGGUUGCGGACAGUGUCUGGUGGGUAGUUUGACUGGGGCGGUCUCCUCCUAAAGAGUAACGGAGGAGCACGAAGGUUGGCUAAUCCUGGUCGGACAUCAGGAGGUUAGUGCAAUGGCAUAAGCCAGCUUGACUGCGAGCGUGACGGCGCGAGCAGGUGCGAAAGCAGGUCAUAGUGAUCCGGUGGUUCUGAAUGGAAGGGCCAUCGCUCAACGGAUAAAAGGUACUCCGGGGAUAACAGGCUGAUACCGCCCAAGAGUUCAUAUCGACGGCGGUGUUUGGCACCUCGAUGUCGGCUCAUCACAUCCUGGGGCUGAAGUAGGUCCCAAGGGUAUGGCUGUUCGCCAUUUAAAGUGGUACGCGAGCUGGGUUUAGAACGUCGUGAGACAGUUCGGUCCCUAUCUGCCGUGGGCGCUGGAGAAUUGAGGGGGGCUGCUCCUAGUACGAGAGGACCGGAGUGGACGCAUCACUGGUGUUCGGGUUGUCAUGCCAAUGGCACUGCCCGGUAGCUAAAUGCGGAAGAGAUAAGUGCUGAAAGCAUCUAAGCACGAAACUUGCCCCGAGAUGAGUUCUCCCUGACUCCUUGAGAGUCCUGAAGGAACGUUGAAGACGACGACGUUGAUAGGCCGGGUGUGUAAGCGCAGCGAUGCGUUGAGCUAACCGGUACUAAUGAACCGUGAGGCUUAACCUU